ACCAGAUGGUGAGCCCAGAGGAAGACCCCGUGGCUCUGGGCCAGUGUGCGUCAGCCAGGUCCCCAGCCCCCAGUGUGCUGAAGCUCAGGCCCUUCCCAACGCCCUGGUCUCCUGCACUGAGUGAGCUCUUCCGCCCAUUUGGGCCCUCUGACAUUGACCGGCAUAGAUGGUGAGCUCGGAGGAAGACUUGCAUUGGGCCCAAUGGAGCUGGGCCAGUUUCUGUCAGCCAGGUCCCCAGCUCCUGAUGCACUGAAGCUCAGGCCCUUCCUGGAGCCCUGGUCUCCUGCCCUGAGCUGUGAUGGUGAGCCUGGAGGAAGACUUGCACUGGGCCUUCUGUGCGCCGGCCAGAGGCCAUCAACCAGGUGCCCAGGUCCUUUUGUACUGAAGCUUGGGCCCUUCCUGGCACCCUGGUCUCCUUCAUGGAGCUGAUGGUGAGCCUGAAGGAAGACUUGCAUCAGGACCAAUGGACCCUGGCAAGUGUCCGUCAGCCAGGUGCUCAGCCCCUGGUGCACUGAAGCUCAGGCCCUUCCUGGCCCCUUGAUCUCCUGCACUGAGCUGUGUGAGCUCUUCUGCCAAGGGGGGGCCUCCUGGCAUUGACCAACAUAGAUGGUGAGCCUGGAGGAAGAUUUGCAUUGGGCCCAAUGGCCCUGGGCCAGUGUCUGUCAGCCAGUUUCCCA
This 677-nucleotide long non-coding RNA is filed under the name Homo sapiens (human). Its description in RNAcentral is "non-protein coding lnc-SNRPN-8:163". Lineage: Eukaryota; Metazoa; Chordata; Mammalia; Primates; Hominidae. The record is from RNAcentral.